GCACCGCAUGGUGCAAUGUUGAAAGUUGGCUUUCUGAGCUAACACUGCAGGAUGGGCCCGCGGCGCAUUAGCUAGUUGGUAAGGUAAUGGCUUACCAAGGCAACGAUGCGUAGCCGACCUGAGAGGGUGAUCGGCCACACUGGGACUGAGACACGGCCCAGACUCCUACGGGAGGCAGCAGUAGGGAAUCUUCCGCAAUGGACGAAAGUCUGACGGAGCAACGCCGCGUGAGUGACGAAGGCCUUCGGGUCGUAAAGCUCUGUUGUUAGGGAAGAACAAGUACCGUUCGAAUAGGGCGGUACCUUGACGGUACCUAACCAGAAAGCCACGGCUAACUACGUGCCAGCAGCCGCGGUAAUACGUAGGUGGCAAGCGUUGUCCGGAAUUAUUGGGCGUAAAGCGCGCGCAGGCGGUCUUUUAAGUCUGAUGUGAAAGCCCACGGCUCAACCGUGGAGGGUCAUUGGAAACUGGAGGACUUGAGUGCAGAAGAGGAGAGUGGAAUUCCACGUGUAGCGGUGAAAUGCGUAGAUAUGUGGAGGAACACCAGUGGCGAAGGCGGCUCUCUGGUCUGUAAUUGACGCUGAGGCGCGAAAGCGUGUGGAGCAAACAGGAUUAGAUACCCUGGUGGUCCACGCCGUAAACGAUGAGUGCUAGGUGUUGGGGGGGUUCCACCCUCAGUGCUGAAGUUAACACAUUAAGCACUCCGCCUGGGGAGUACGACCGCAAGGUUGAAACUCAAAGGAAUUGACGGGGGCCCGCACAAGCAGUGGAGCAUGUGGUUUAAUUCGAAGCAACGCGAA
RNAcentral lists this ribosomal RNA (800 nucleotides) under uncultured bacterium. RNAcentral describes it as "bacterial SSU rRNA". It matches the Rfam family "Bacterial small subunit ribosomal RNA", at positions 183 to 965 of the family's 1533-position model. The record is from RNAcentral.